This 798-nucleotide ribosomal RNA is filed under the name Triticum aestivum (bread wheat). RNAcentral's name for it is "partial small subunit ribosomal RNA". Lineage: Eukaryota; Viridiplantae; Streptophyta; Magnoliopsida; Poales; Poaceae. The record is from RNAcentral.
AUGUGUGCAGCAAAAAGGGAUGGCGGAAUGGGGUUUAGGGAUCCUGAAGUUUUCAAUCAAGCUCUGCUUGCAAAACAGGCUUGGUGGAUCCUCCAGACCCCUACCUCUCUCUGUGCGAGGGUUCUCAAAGCAAGGUAUUUCAAGGAAGACUCAAUUCUUACAGCAUCCUGCCCCCCAACGGCAUCGUAUACUUUCAGAAGCAUAUUGCAUGGGAGGGAUCUCCUUAGAGAGGGGCUGAUCUGGCGCAUAGGAGAUGGAACCCAGGUGCGCAUUCAUCACGCUAACUGGAUCCCGAGGAGCAGCAGCAUGAAGCCGUUGGGUCAGAUUUAUAUGUCGAGUGUAACGAGAGUUGCCCAUCUUCUAUCCCCUGAUGGGAGGAGCUGGAACGUGGGAAGACUAGAAACAAUGUUUUCGCCUGAUGACGUGAAAGACAUCAAGCAAAUUGCGGUGGGAGGACCUGGCCAAGAUGAUUACUUGGCGUGGAACUUUACAAAGAAUGGGUGCUUCACGGUGAAGUCUGCCUAUCAUAUGAAAAUGGCAAUGUUAAGGGCAGGGACAGGACAGCCGGAAUCCUCAUCUUCGGUUACUAAAAACAGCGGUUUCAUGUCUCUAUGGGAUACACAAGUGCUGGCUAAGGACAAGAUCCACACAUGGAGGCUCGUCAAAAAUGGCUUGGCAGUCGGGGCAGAGCUUCAUCAUCGUCAGAUCAAACCCGGAAUUUUUUGUGUUGCAUGCGGCCGGGAGGAAACAAUCUAUCACGGGUUUUGGGCGUGUCAGCAUUCAGUACAAUUUUGGUAG